CCUACGGGAGGCAGCAGUGGGGAAUUUUCCGCAAUGGGCGAAAGCCUGACGGAGCAAUACCGCGUGAGGGAAGACUGCCUAUGGGUUGUAAACCUCUUUUUUCAGGGAGGAAUAAAAUGACGUGUACCUGAAGAAUAAGCAUCGGCUAACUCCGUGCCAGCAGCCGCGGUAAGACGGAGGAUGCAAGUGUUAUCCGGAAUCACUGGGCGUAAAGCGUCUGUAGGUGGUUUAAUAAGUCAACUGUUAAAUCUUGAGGCUCAACUUCAAAACCGCAGUCGAAACUAUUAGACUAGAGUAUAGUAGAGGUAAAGGGAAUUUCCAGUGGAGCGGUGAAAUGCGUAGAUAUUGGAAAGAACACCGAUGGCGAAAGCACUUUACUGGGCUAUUACUAACACUCAGAGACGAAAGCUAGGGUAGCAAAUGGGAUUAGAUACCCCAGUAGUCCUAGCCGUAAACUAUGGAUACUAGAUGUUGAACAGAUCGACCUGUGCAGUAUCAAAGCUAACGCGUUAAGUAUCCCGCCUGGGAAGUAUGCUCGCAAGAGUUGAAACUCAAAUGAAUUGACGG
This 567-nucleotide ribosomal RNA is filed under the name uncultured bacterium. Its description in RNAcentral is "bacterial SSU rRNA". It matches the Rfam family "Bacterial small subunit ribosomal RNA", at positions 338 to 916 of the family's 1533-position model. The record is from RNAcentral.